GGGAGCACAGGAUCCUGGGCUGUGUCCCCCGGCGUCCUGGGAUCCCGGGCCUGCGCUGCUGGAAUCGUGCUCCUGGAGCACAGCUCCC
Molecule: microRNA precursor, 88 nt
Filed under: Canis lupus familiaris (dog)
Lineage: Eukaryota; Metazoa; Chordata; Mammalia; Carnivora; Canidae
Also listed under: 1 other name
Description: mir-8799 microRNA precursor family
Rfam family: mir-8799 microRNA precursor family
Source: Rfam by way of RNAcentral